GAUGAACGCUAGCGGCAGGCUUAAUACAUGCAAGUCGAGGGGCGAGCAGGGGUAGGCAAUACCCGCUGGCGACCGGCAAACGGGUGUGGAACACGUACAGAACCUUCCUUAGAGUGGGGGAGUAGCCCGGAGAAAUCCGGAUUAAUACCCCACUAGUAUUGUUGGUUGGCACCAAUUGGCAAUUAAAGAUUUAUUGCUCUAAGAUGGCUGUGCGGCUGAUUAGGUAGUUGGUUGGGGUAACGGCCCACCAAGCCAGCGAUCAGUAACUGGUGUGAGAGCACGACCAGUCACACGGGCACUGAGACACGGGCCCGACUCCUACGGGAGGCAGCAGUAAGGAAUAUUGGUCAAUGGACGCAAGUCUGAACCAGCCAUGCCGCGUGAAGGAUGAAGGCCUU
This 398-nucleotide ribosomal RNA is filed under the name uncultured bacterium. Its description in RNAcentral is "bacterial SSU rRNA". It matches the Rfam family "Bacterial small subunit ribosomal RNA", at positions 28 to 418 of the family's 1533-position model. The record is from RNAcentral.